Tribolium castaneum (red flour beetle) is the source of this 846-nucleotide long non-coding RNA. RefSeq lists it as uncharacterized. The transcript has 2 exons. The record is from RefSeq and is a predicted model, not a curated record. Lineage: Eukaryota; Metazoa; Arthropoda; Insecta; Coleoptera; Tenebrionidae.
UCCUUAGACAGGUGUUGUAUACAUUUAGUAGUUUCUUUGUUUCAUUUUCCGCUAUAAUUUUAAUAAUUUCUGCAGGAAUACCAUCUGGUCCAGUGGCUUUACCAGGUUUCAGGCGUUUGGCGGCAAUUAGUAGUUCUUCCAGUGUGAAAUUUUUUAUGGGGUUCUUUAUUGGUUCGGGCCAUACUACUUCAGGAUGGCGCGGAAACAGAUGCACUACAACGUUUUCCAGUUCAUCCUCACCGUUUCCCCAGACGUCGUCAUCAAUUGAGGCACAUAAUUCCUGCCACUUUGAAUGUUUUGAGAUUUUUAUUUCCUUUCGUAGUUUAUCCCUUGCUAUUUUUAGUGUGUUUACCUUAGUUUCUAGGUUUUGUGACAAUGUUGUUUUAGGUCGAGCUCUUGUUACAGCUCGUCUGGCUUUGAUAGAUUCUUUCCGGAGUUGGGCAAUACGAUCGUUCCACCAGUAGCAGGGUCUUCGUUUUGGUGAAAAAGAUUUCUUUAACAUCGCAGCGUUGCAUGAUUUUUCAAGACUGUCUUUUAGUUGCUCGGGCGAGUUUAUACUGCCACACUUAUUAAACCUUUUUAGGAGUUUCGCCUUAUUCAAUGAUUUUAGGUUCCACGCUGGGGGUUGGUUCGAAUUAUACUGAUGGCUAUCUGGUAAAUUUGUUUCCCAUUUGAAAGAAAUGAUUUUGUGGUCGCUGAGGGAUUCUGUAUCCAUCGUUGUCCAUCCUUGUAUGUUAUUUGCGACGUUUUGAGAUACUAGUGUUAAGUCUAUGAUUGAUUUUGAUGUACCUCUUUCAAAUGUAUAGUAGUUUGGUUUGUUUUUGGUAAUAAAGUUUAGUUCUGCAA